AUCUGGGCCUUCUUGUACCCCUCAACGACCCCUUCGACUACGGAGAGGUUGCGAUAUCCCCAUCGGCAUUGAUGAAAUCCUAGAGCCCAGUAAGGCAUGGGAGCUGGGCGGCCGAUCAUAGAAGUGUAUUGAUCCACAACUGCUAGAGGCGACGGCCCUUUAAAAAAGUAGAAAUCAAAUAAGCCUCCAAUCACCUUAUAUGUGAGAGAUUUUCCUCUAUAGAUGAUAUCCAUCCCAUUGCUGUUAAGCAGCAGAACUCCAUGGGCAGAAACCUCUCCCCCUAAAUUCCUCAAGUCCAUAUAAACCGGGUGUGACCCAUACAGAUCAGUAUUAAGAUUGAUAGCAGAUAUAUCCGUCGUGUAGAGUGUGUAUGGAUCAUUAGGCCGCAACCGGAUGCCACCAGGUUGUGUGUUCUCGCCAAGUCCAUAAAGGGCCGCACUCUCUGGCAAUCGAGUAGAGAUCUCAAGGUAUUGGUCUUUGAACACCAUACUCCCAUAGGAACCGUCAGUUGCCGGGCUUGAAUCAAAGAGGACCUGUCCAUUUGAUUUCCUUCUUAUAGCAAAUCCAAAUGGAUCUGAUGUAUAGCUGAAAACCAAUUCAUCUCCUGAGUACUCAGAAACUGUGAGAGGUGAGGUUGCAGAUUUCACAUUAAAACUCCCCAAUGCUGGGGGUUGUUCCCUUGGAAGCAAAUUGUAGGGGACCUCCCAUCUCUCCUUCUCUGCAUCAGUUAUUUGAACUCUUAAACGAUCUUGGGUUUCAUGCUUGACAAAGAGCCUGAGGUGAGGGAUGUCGCUGCCGUAAGUGGUGGUUGUCUGCUUGACUUGCAGAUAGCCGAUGAGCCCCCCAUUAGGGUUCUCUUCAAGGGAGAGGAGACGGUAGCCAUAGCCGACCUUUGGAGAGAUAGAAGCUGAACAGUGGUGAAGGGAAAGCAGAGUGAUGAAGAGACGGAGGACAGAUGGGGGCACCAUCGUCCCCUCUGUGUUGAUACUUUCAAGGUGGGGGAGAACCUCUAUAACUUUAGGGUUUUG
Molecule: unclassified non-coding RNA, 1028 nt
Filed under: Hevea brasiliensis (rubber tree)
Lineage: Eukaryota; Viridiplantae; Streptophyta; Magnoliopsida; Malpighiales; Euphorbiaceae
Source: RNAcentral